RNAcentral lists this ribosomal RNA (253 nucleotides) under uncultured bacterium. RNAcentral's name for it is "partial 16S ribosomal RNA". It matches the Rfam family "Bacterial small subunit ribosomal RNA", at positions 524 to 776 of the family's 1533-position model. The record is from RNAcentral.
UACGUAGGGGGCAAGCGUUGUCCGGAAUCAUUGGGCGUAAAGAGCGUGUAGGCGGCCCGAUAAGUCCGCCGUGAAAGUCCAGGGCUCAACCCUGGGAUGCCGGUGGAUACUGUCGAGCUCGAGUCCGGAAGAGGCGAGUGGAAUUCCUGGUGUAGCGGUGAAAUGCGCAGAUAUCAGGAGGAACACCGGUGGCGAAGGCGGGUCUCUGGGCCGACACUGACGCUGAGGCGCGAAAGCCAGGGGAGCGAACGGG